UUCAUCAAGUUUAGUUUUAUAGGCAUUAGCUCCUUCACCAAGAAACUCCUUUUCUAAAAAGGCUGCUGAAUUGCUGACAAACACCUUUUAUUCUGCAAUGAGGUACAAGUAGUACCCUUUAGUUUUUUUUGGAUACCCUAUGAAUAAGCAUCCAUCGAACUUCGGUCCAAGCUUAUCUAUCUUUAAACACUUGACAUAAGCUGGACAUCCUAAGACCCUA
RNAcentral lists this long non-coding RNA (220 nucleotides) under Elaeis guineensis (African oil palm). RNAcentral's name for it is "long non-coding RNA (EGUI_LNC068650)". The record is from RNAcentral. Lineage: Eukaryota; Viridiplantae; Streptophyta; Magnoliopsida; Arecales; Arecaceae.